Molecule: long non-coding RNA, 877 nt
Organism: Cyprinus carpio carpio
Lineage: Eukaryota; Metazoa; Chordata; Actinopteri; Cypriniformes; Cyprinidae
Source: Ensembl
GUAUUUUUUAUUAGGUCGACGUCCGAUUGAGAUUCUGUUGUGCUCUUGCUAUGCUUACUCAGCCAAACGCGACUCAUGGUUUAUUUUAUGUAGUUUACUGCUGAUUUGUUCUUCUGAAACAUACAUAUCACAUUUGUAUUAAAAAAUCGACACCCCAGCCUUCGAGAUUAAAUUAGGGGUUUCAGAUUCUCUCAACCCCCCAUAAUUCGCAACCUAAAAUGUGGCAACAUGUACUCUCUUUCUAUGCUAAUAUAAGAAGACACAGUCUAUCGAUAUAAUAUAAUGUAUACUAAUUUUCAGCAGACAUUUCUGAACGUAUUUUAUCCUCUUGUUUUGUCAGGGUGUUGGAUGCAGAACUUGUUUCCACCAGCAGAUGGCGACAUAUCACCGCUACGUCAUACUAAUGGCAUUUCAUUCAUGUUAUGUGAGUGUGUGUACGCGUGCAUGUGUCGGGAACGUUUCCCAUCAGGUCUCGGAGACACUCCUGGAGAUCAGAUAAAUGACAGGAGAUCAUCCCAACUGCUGACGUCCCAAGACGGUGUGUAUGACCAUUCAGGAAAAACAGACUCUUCAACAAGUUGCUCAAAUGGCAAGGGUUGUUAAAAGGUUAACCUCAAUAAACAAACCUCAGAAGUGGUGCAAGUCCUCCCCAUUAGGGUGAAAAGGUUAUUCUUUAAAGCUGAAACAGUUCAUCGCUCCUGACAUAUAGCGGGGGUGGGGGGAUGGGGGAAAUUAAGAUCCUGAAGGAUCCUGAAUCUCAAUGUUAUUUUUAAUAAAGCCAUUGACACAAAAAACUUGAUCAAAUUCAUGCUCCCAGUAAAACAGAGCAAUAUGGCAGUGUGCAACCAUCAUUUGUCACAAAAUACACACGCAAAAA